Molecule: ribosomal RNA, 925 nt
Filed under: uncultured bacterium
Lineage: Bacteria
Description: bacterial SSU rRNA
Rfam family: Bacterial small subunit ribosomal RNA
Source: RNAcentral
GAGUUUGAUCAUGGCUCAGGAUGAACGCUAGCGACAGGCCUAACACAUGCAAGUCGAGGGGCAGCGGGGAGCGAAGCUUGCUUUGCUCCGCCGGCGACCGGCGCACGGGUGAGUAACGCGUAUGCAACCUGCCCGUUUCAGCGGGAUAACCCGGAGAAAUCCGGCCUAAUACCGCAUGUGGCCGAGGGGAGGCAUCUUCUUUCGGCCAAAGGAGGCAACUCCGGAGACGGAUGGGCAUGCGUGACAUUAGCUUGUUGGCGGGGUAACGGCCCACCAAGGCGACGAUGUCUAGGGGUUCUGAGAGGAAGGUCCCCCACACUGGUACUGAGACACGGACCAGACUCCUACGGGAGGCAGCAGUGAGGAAUAUUGGUCAAUGGGCGAGAGCCUGAACCAGCCAAGUCGCGUGAAGGAUGACGGCCCUAUGGGUUGUAAACUUCUUUUGUCAGGGAGCAAUUGAGUCCACGUGUGGGCUUAGCGAGAGUACCUGAAGAAAAAGCAUCGGCUAACUCCGUGCCAGCAGCCGCGGUAAUACGGAGGAUGCGAGCGUUAUCCGGAUUUAUUGGGUUUAAAGGGUGCGUAGGCGGAAUAUCAAGUCAGCGGUAAAAAUUCGGGGCUCAACCCCGUCGUGCCGUUGAAACUGAUGUUCUUGAGUGGGCGAGAAGUAUGCGGAAUGCGUGGUGUAGCGGUGAAAUGCAUAGAUAUCACGCAGAACUCCGAUUGCGAAGGCAGCAUACCGGCGCUCAACUGACGCUCAUGCACGAAAGCGUGGGUAUCGAACAGGAUUAGAUACCCUGGUAGUCCACGCAGUAAACGAUGAAUACUAACUGUCCGGGCCGAUUGAGGUCUGGGUGGUACAGCGAAAGCGUUAAGUAUUCCACCUGGGGAGUACGCCGGCAACGGUGAAACUCAAAGGAAUUGACGG